This 405-nucleotide unclassified non-coding RNA is filed under the name soil metagenome. Its description in RNAcentral is "partial contains 5.8S ribosomal RNA, internal transcribed spacer 2, and large subunit ribosomal RNA". The stretch from base 1 to 121 matches the Rfam family "5.8S ribosomal RNA", at positions 35 to 154 of the family's 154-position model. The record is from RNAcentral.
GAUGAAGAACGUAGCGAAAUGCGAUAAGUAAUGUGAAUUGCAGAAUUCAGUGAAUCAUCGAAUCUUUGAACGCACCUUGCGCCCUUUGGACAUUCCGAAGGGCAUGCCUGUUUGAGUAUCAUGAACACCUCAACUCUCACGGCUUGUCCGUGAUGAGCUUGGACUUUGGGGGUCUUGCCGGCCUGUGGUCGGCUCCUCUCAAAUGGAUCAGCUUGCCAGUGUUUGGUGGCAUCACAGGUAUGAUAACUAUCUGCGCUUGUGGUUUUCCAUCAGAUAACCUUCAGUGAUAUGGAGGUUCGCUGGAGCUCACAAAUGUCUCUCCUUAGUGAGGACAGCUCUUUGAACGUUUGAUCUCAAAUCAGGUAGGACUACCCGCUGAACUUAAGCAUAUCAAUAAGCGGAGGA